AGGCCGGUAUAAACUUGCGGCUCAGAUCAAGCUAUGCCUGAUGCUGCCUUAAGCCUUAUGAGGUCGCCAAGGAACCGCAGGUGAGGAUUCAGGAGAUAAUUCUGCAAACAGAACUUCCUGAGAACUGAGAUGGGGGAAAUCGCUGGUAUUAGAAGAGUGAAAAGAAACUCCUGGAGGGCAGAGGCAUGCCUGCCAUCUUCAUCAAUGCAUUACCACCACCCAACACUAUCGGGGGACCUGCCCUGAUAAUCAGUGACUGGCUCAAAACAAGUCUGUGAUUCCAUUCUGACUGUUCUACUGAGGGAAUUCCCCCUUCUUCUCAUGCGGAGCUGAUGAGGGUAAGUUGUAUUAAUAGGACAUAGGCUUAGGUUUUCUGAAAAAUACUUUUAUCUAGAAAUGCAUAGGAAUAUGCUGGUGCCUGAAUGUACCAUCUGGGGGCCUGGAGAUUGACUCACCUGCCUCCAGAGCUAGUGCUCACACUUACUACUGAGAGGCCUGAGGAAACGCCUCCCUUCCCACCACCAGAACCUGCAUACGUCACCUGGAAAACUAGAGAUCAGCCUGCCACACACACUACCCAGGAGCCCAGUGGUGCACCUGCCCACCUGGCCCAGUGCUGCCACUGCCAGCAACCAAAGAAGCCACCUGGAGGCCCAGGGAUUGGCCCACACAGACAGGCUAUCAUCAGUGCCCACAAACACUGCCCAUGGUCCCUUGUAUUGACACACCAGGUCUACCACCACUACCACUGAUGGUGAAGGACAAGACUUCCUGGCAUCCCCAUCAGCAAAGUCUCACCACAGCCUCCAAUAACAACUACAGUCUGGCCAAGUGUGGUGGCUCACGCCUGUAAUCC
RNAcentral lists this long non-coding RNA (856 nucleotides) under Homo sapiens (human). Its description in RNAcentral is "HSALNT0317910". The record is from RNAcentral. Lineage: Eukaryota; Metazoa; Chordata; Mammalia; Primates; Hominidae.